GCCUGGGUGGCUCAGUCAGUAAGCAUCUGACUUCAGCUCAGGUCAUUAUCUCGUGGUUUGUGGGUUUGAGCCCCACGUCGGGCU
Non-coding RNA from Felis catus (domestic cat), 84 nucleotides. The record is from Rfam. Lineage: Eukaryota; Metazoa; Chordata; Mammalia; Carnivora; Felidae.